UGCAGUCGAACGGUCUCUUCGGAGGCAGUGGCAGACGGGUGAGUAACGCGUGGGAACAUACCUUUCGGUACGGAACAACAGUUGGAAACGACUGCUAAUACCGUAUACGCCCUAUGGGGGAAAGAUUUAUCGCCGAGAGAUUGGCCCGCGUUGGAUUAGCUAGUUGGUGAGGUAAUGGCUCACCAAGGCGACGAUCCAUAGCUGGUCUGAGAGGAUGAUCAGCCACACUGGGACUGAGACACGGCCCAGACUCCUACGGGAGGCAGCAGUGGGGAAUCUUGGACAAUGGGCGCAAGCCUGAUCCAGCCAUGCCGCGUGAGUGAUGAAGGCCUUAGGGUCGUAAAGCUCUUUCGCCAGAGAUGAUAAUGACAGUAUCUGGUAAAGAAACCCCGGCUAACUCCGUGCCAGCAGCCGCGGUAAUACGGAGGGGGUUAGCGUUGUUCGGAAUUACUGGGCGUAAAGCGCACGUAGGCGGAUCAGAAAGUAUAGGGUGAAAUCCCAGGGCUCAACCCUGGAACUGCCUUGUAAACUCCUGGUCUUGAGUUCGAGAGAGGUGAGUGGAAUUCCGAGUGUAGAGGUGAAAUUCGUAGAUAUUCGGAGGAACACCAGUGGCGAAGGCGGCUC
Molecule: ribosomal RNA, 624 nt
Filed under: uncultured bacterium
Lineage: Bacteria
Description: bacterial SSU rRNA
Rfam family: Bacterial small subunit ribosomal RNA
Source: RNAcentral